CAGGCCUAACACAUGCAAGUCGAACGAUGCCUUCGGGCAUAGUGGCGCACGGGUGCGUAACGCGUGGGAAUCUGCCCUUGGGUUCGGAAUAACUCGCCGAAAGGCGUGCUAAUACCGGAUGAUGACGUAAGUCCAAAGAUUUAUCGCCCAAGGAUGAGCCCGCGUAGGAUUAGCUAGUUGGUAAGGUAAAAGCUUACCAAGGCGACGAUCCUUAGCUGGUCUGAGAGGAUGAUCAGCCACACUGGGACUGAGACACGGCCCAGACUCCUACGGGAGGCAGCAGUGGGGAAUAUUGGACAAUGGGCGAAAGCCUGAUCCAGCAAUGCCGCGUGAGUGAUGAAGGCCUUAGGGUUGUAAAGCUCUUUUACCCGGGAUGAUAAUGACAGUACCGGGAGAAUAAGCUCCGGCUAACUCCGUGCCAGCAGCCGCGGUAAU
Molecule: ribosomal RNA, 435 nt
Filed under: uncultured bacterium
Lineage: Bacteria
Description: bacterial SSU rRNA
Rfam family: Bacterial small subunit ribosomal RNA
Source: RNAcentral